GUACCGCUGAAGAGUACCAAAUUAGGACGAAACAGCUGUCCAGUAC
Molecule: non-coding RNA, 46 nt
Organism: Trichobilharzia regenti
Lineage: Eukaryota; Metazoa; Platyhelminthes; Trematoda; Strigeidida; Schistosomatidae
Source: Rfam